RNAcentral lists this ribosomal RNA (301 nucleotides) under uncultured bacterium. RNAcentral's name for it is "partial 16S ribosomal RNA". It matches the Rfam family "Bacterial small subunit ribosomal RNA", at positions 509 to 807 of the family's 1533-position model. The record is from RNAcentral.
CAGUCGCCGCGGUAAUACGGAGGGUGCAAGCGUUAAUCGGAAUUACUGGGCGUAAAGCGUGCGUAGGCGGUUCGUUAAGUCUGUUGUGAAAGCCCCGGGCUCAACCUGGGAAUGGCAAUGGAUACUGGCGAGCUAGAGUGUGUCAGAGGAUGGUGGAAUUCCCGGUGUAGCGGUGAAAUCCGUAGAGAUCGGGAGGAACAUCAGUGGCGAAGGCGGCCAUCUGGGACAACACUGACGCUGAGGCACGAAAGCGUGGGGAGCAAACAGGAUUAGAUACCCCUGUAGUCCCUGUCUCUUAUAC